UACGUAGGGAGCAAGCGUUGUCCGGAAUCAUUGGGCGUAAAGCGCGCGUAGGUGGCCCCAUAAGUCCGCUGUGAAAGUCAAAGGCUCAACCUUUGAAAGCCGGUGGAUACUGUGGGACUAGAGUACGGAAGAGGCGAGUGGAAUUCCUGGUGUAGCGGUGGAAUGCGCAGAUAUCAGGAGGAACACCAGCGGUGUAGACGGCUUUCUGGACCAUUGCUGACGCUGAGACACGAAAGCGUGGGUAGCAAACAGG
RNAcentral lists this ribosomal RNA (253 nucleotides) under uncultured bacterium. RNAcentral's name for it is "partial 16S ribosomal RNA". It matches the Rfam family "Bacterial small subunit ribosomal RNA", at positions 524 to 776 of the family's 1533-position model. The record is from RNAcentral.